GUCUGCGAGGGAAGGUGUGCAGUCACUUAUCUUAAACAUCAGAAGUUCUAGAAAAUGCUCUUGAGCAAUGUUGAUUUUUGUUUUGGUUUACUGCUGUUCCUGGAUGGACAAUGAACGAUAGAAACAACAACAUAGUAAGGUGGCAACUCAUUCGGCAUGAAUAUAUAUAAGUGAACAAGUAUUCUCAAAUCAAAUAAUAAGGUUUGUCGGAUGUGUGUACGUGGCUUCAACACAUGAGAUGUAACACCUAUUAGACAUAUUAACAUGUACUCAUAUCACAGGAGGGUGGGUGAGAUUUUGUCCAGGAAUUUCUGGCAUUGCAGCUGAAAGAUUGGCGAGCCGAAGGACUUCCUGUUCAGUAUUACUCCUGUUGAAGCCGAGGCGUAUAGCUGAAACACACGUAUCAUUUCAUCUCUUAUAUGCCUCAUCUUUGUAUAGAAAGUGUGUUGGUAACCCUUUGUUUUGUGUUUUGUUGAAACUUUACUAUGUCAUUUUCAAGUGAGAUUUUUAUUUGGUUUUAGGUAGCUCUACUGAUGUGUAAAGAAUGGUGGUUGCAGGUAAUGAGAGCCAUUCCAUUAUACGAUACCUAUCCAUUUUUAUUGCUUUAAUUUUUGUCAGUUUAGUCACUGAAUGUAGCUGGAACAGAACAUGUUGGAAUUUUAGCAUCAGGACAUCUGGCUAGUUGGACGAUUAAACAUCCCUCUGUGUGGACACAAACAUUGUGUCUAGAUUUCAUCUGUAGAUUAUUUCGAGGAUGAUAACUUUGUCACCAACAUCGUGACUUUGAAAACUAGCAGUUGAACAGCCUUUCAAUUCCAAACAAGAAUCUAUUCAUGUAAUGUGACACUAUAUGGCUGGUAUUGGAGUAGAUAAUGCUGUUUGAAUGCAGAAUAUGUCACUGAGAAGGGGUUCUAUUAUGGUAGGAGUAUCGUGUUUAAGUACAGGCUGACCAGAAUUACAAACACAUUGAUUGAAAACUAUCAUCAGUUUCAAGAAUUGGUUAAAAACCAUUUUCCAGGCUAUUUGUGCUUUGUUAGCUAUAGGUCCCUAUAGACAAACUUACACUUCAGUUACUAGCAGAUGAACUGUUUCAAUUUCAAACAAAAGGAGUUGUGGU
Molecule: long non-coding RNA, 1117 nt
Organism: Daphnia carinata
Lineage: Eukaryota; Metazoa; Arthropoda; Branchiopoda; Diplostraca; Daphniidae
Exons: 6
Source: RefSeq, a predicted model, not a curated record